GAUGAACGCUGGCGGCGUGCCUAAUACAUGCAAGUCGAGCGAACAGACGAGGAGCUUGCUCCUCUGACGUUAGCGGCGGACGGGUGAGUAACACGUGGAUAACCUACCUAUAAGACUGGGAUAACUUCGGGAAACCGGAGCUAAUACCGGAUAAUAUAUUGAACCGCAUGGUUCAAUAGUGAAAGACGGUUUUGCUGUCACUUAUAGAUGGAUCCGCGCCGCAUUAGCUAGUUGGUAAGGUAACGGCUUACCAAGGCGACGAUGCGUAGCCGACCUGAGAGGGUGAUCGGCCACACUGGAACUGAGACACGGUCCAGACUCCUACGGGAGGCAGCAGUAGGGAAUCUUCCGCAAUGGGCGAAAGCUUGACGGAGCAACGCCGCGUGAGUGAUGAUGGUCUUCGGAUCGUAAAACUCUGUUAUUAGGGAAGAACAAAUGUGUAAGUAACUAUGCACGUCUUGACGGUACCUAAUCAGAAAGCCACGGCUAACUACGUG
Molecule: ribosomal RNA, 497 nt
Filed under: uncultured bacterium
Lineage: Bacteria
Description: partial 16S ribosomal RNA
Rfam family: Bacterial small subunit ribosomal RNA
Source: RNAcentral